Molecule: long non-coding RNA, 1246 nt
Organism: Hippocampus comes (tiger tail seahorse)
Lineage: Eukaryota; Metazoa; Chordata; Actinopteri; Syngnathiformes; Syngnathidae
Exons: 3
Source: RefSeq, a predicted model, not a curated record
CUGUAACAUUUCACGGUGCAUAUUUUUGGACUGAGCUUAGAAGAAGCCCUUCAUAUCUUCAAAUCAUCAUUGCUUUAAACAAAAAAAACAAGCACGUCAUUUCAUAAUGUGCUUGACUCUCAAAUCAGGUGCUUGCGCCAAGAAAUACACACACUGGAAAAAAAAAAAAAAAAACCUGCCCUCUUCCCCACAGAGAAGAAAUAGUAAAACAAGCGCAAAGCUGAACACCGUGACUUGUCUGCAAGCCAACUUCUGCCAGCAAGCGUUGAGCGUUAGUCGAGUCGGGCUGCUGGCUGCUCACCUCACAUCAUUUUCACAAGCAUCAAAGUCUUCAUAAAAGCUUGAGCACACACAAAUUCGGCUGGAACCGUGGCUGCUCAGUACGCAGCAGCGAAAACCAGGGCUGGAGUUGGUUUGUGCAAUGUGAGACAGGAAAAUAUUCUGUUGACCAAAACUGCCAAUCAGUGACUCAAUUAUCUAAUCUACUGAGACUGGGUUCUGGAAAGAGAGAGGAAAUUAAAUCCCCGCGAGGAGCCUUAGCUCAAGUUUUGUUCAAACUCCCAAAAGGGAGGCAAAAGGUCCGCAAUAUGUGUCGACUCUAAAACACUGUAGUGCUAAUCUCCCAUCUGUGCCGCUGGAAUUACUGUCGACGUUCAGUGUGUGGUCCUUACGCUUCGGCACGAUCCGAGACGGCACAGCUGGGGCAUUUGCGGGCGCUUUCAUCAGAGUGGAACUCGUGCAAUUCGGGGUUUUUUUUUUUUUUUUUUUUUAAUCGCCACAACAGAAAGUCGACACCUCCUGCUGUGACACUCGCAGGAACUUCAUCUUGUGAGCUUGUCUCGCAAGAUUAACCUUUCAACUGCCUAACCCGAGGACGUCUCCAAGUAAAACUCAUGACGGACCAGCUGUGCUUUGGUCGUGUCAGUGAAAUGUGACUCAUUCAAAAAAAAAUCUUGCCGUUAGUCUGGCAGGUGAGAGAAAGAGACUUCUGUCGGGAUGAUGCUCUUUCGCAUUUGGCAGGACCAAAUUAGAAGCACUUCCAGUACUGAACAAAAUGGAUUCCUCCAUUAUUCAGGAAAGAGCAGGUGGAAUCUUGAACUCCAGACCACCAAGAGAUGAUGACCCAUCCAUUCAUUUUCUACCGCUUAUGCUGUUCAGGCGCCGCAGGGACCGGACAAAACUAUCCCAGCGAUGAGGACCACCAGGAAGAGGACAAGAAAGCCGGGCGAGCGCUGCUGCAUCCUUG